Molecule: ribosomal RNA, 468 nt
Filed under: uncultured bacterium
Lineage: Bacteria
Description: partial 16S ribosomal RNA
Rfam family: Bacterial small subunit ribosomal RNA
Source: RNAcentral
GACGAACGCUGGCGGCGUGCUUAACACAUGCAAGUCGAACGGAAAGGCCCUGAUUGUUUGUUUUGCUCGAGUGUCGAACGUGUGUGUAACGCGGGAGUAUCCGGCACUCGAGUGUGGGAUGACUUCUGGAAGCGGGUGCUAGUACCGGAUGGGUGGUCCUGCUGCAUGAGGGGGGUUGGUAGGUUUCGGCGGUGGGGGAUGGACUGGCGGCUUAUGAGCUUGUUGGUGGGGUAGUGGCUUACCAAGGCUUUGACGGGUAGCCGGCCUGAGAGGGUGACCGGCCACGUUGGGACUGAGAUACGGCCCAGACUCCUACGGGAGGGAGCAGUGGGGAAUAUUGCACAAUGGGAGGAAGCAUGAUGCAGUAACGCCGCGUGCGGGAUGACGGCAUUCGGGUUGUAAACCGCUUUCGCAUGUGACGAAGCGUGAGUGACGGUAAUGGGUAAAGAAGCACCGGCUAACUACGUG